Molecule: ribosomal RNA, 254 nt
Filed under: uncultured bacterium
Lineage: Bacteria
Description: partial 16S ribosomal RNA
Rfam family: Bacterial small subunit ribosomal RNA
Source: RNAcentral
UACAGGGGUCCCGAGCGUUGUUCGGAUUUACUGGGCGUAAAGGGCGCGUAGGCGGCCACCGCAAGUCGACUGUGAAAUCUCCGGGCUUAACCCGGAAAGGUCAGCCGAUACUGCGGGGCUAGAGUGCAGAAGGGGCAACUGGAAUUCUCGGUGUAGCGGUGAAAUGCGUAGAUAUCGAGAGGAACACCUGCGGCGAAGGCGGGUUGCUGGGCUGACACUGACGCUGAUGCGCGAAAGCUAGGGGAGCGAACGGG